AAAGUUUUAAGUUAAAUAAACUAAUAGCCUUCAAAGCUAUAAUUAUAAGAUUAAUCUUUUAAGCUUUA
Molecule: transfer RNA, 68 nt
Filed under: Rhipidia chenwenyoungi
Lineage: Eukaryota; Metazoa; Arthropoda; Insecta; Diptera; Limoniidae
Description: tRNA-Trp
Rfam family: tRNA
About the family: Transfer RNA (tRNA) molecules are approximately 80 nucleotides in length. Their secondary structure includes four short double-helical elements and three loops (D, anti-codon, and T loops).
Source: RNAcentral